GAUGAACGCUGGCGGCGUGCUUAACACAUGCAAGUCGAACGGGAAUUAUUUUAUUGAAACUUCGGUCGAUUUAAUUUACUUCUAGUGGCGGACGGGUGAGUAACGCGUGGGUAACCUGCCUUAUACAGGGGGAUAACAGUCAGAAAUGGCUGCUAAUACCGCAUAAGCGCACAGAGCUGCAUGGCUCAGUGUGAAAAACUCCGGUGGUAUAAGAUGGACCCGCGUUGGAUUAGCUGGUUGGUGGGGUAACGGCCCACCAAGGCGACGAUCCAUAGCCGGCCUGAGAGGGUGAACGGCCACAUUGGGACUGAGACACGGCCCAGACUCCUACGGGAGGCAGCAGUGGGGAAUAUUGCACAAUGGGGGAAACCCUGAUGCAGCGACGCCGCGUGAAGGAAGAAGUAUCUCGGUAUGUAAACUUCUAUCAGCAGGGAAGAUAGUGACGGUACCUGACUAAGAAGCCCCGGCUAACUACGUG
Molecule: ribosomal RNA, 478 nt
Filed under: uncultured bacterium
Lineage: Bacteria
Description: partial 16S ribosomal RNA
Rfam family: Bacterial small subunit ribosomal RNA
Source: RNAcentral